This 861-nucleotide ribosomal RNA is filed under the name Triticum aestivum (bread wheat). Its description in RNAcentral is "partial small subunit ribosomal RNA". The record is from RNAcentral. Lineage: Eukaryota; Viridiplantae; Streptophyta; Magnoliopsida; Poales; Poaceae.
GCUCCAUCCAUCACUGAUGCUUUGAACAAAGUUGUGGAAGAAGCAUUCUCUUUUUAUCCAAAGGCAAUCCGAGGGCUCAACAGGCCAGGAGAUUUUCAACAUUUGCUUCACUUGUGUCAUAUGUAUCUUAGGCCUAAUCCAAAGGUGGAUAAUAGCCAUCAUUAUCAGGUUGGACCUCAGUACAUUUAUAGGUUUUUUAGUUUCGGAUGGAGAUAUUUUAGACUCGGUCAUCAUCCUGAGGUCAACGAGAAGGAGGAUUCCCUACAAUCAGGUCAAGAACUGAAUCGAUGGAGGCGGGCGGCACAAUAUCUAGAGGCAGGAGUCAAGUUUAAGAAACGCGAAUACGAUAAUAUGGAUCCUCAUUCUCUCUUAGACAUUAAGUUUAGCAAUGGUUCCAUUGAAAUUCCAUCCCUUGUUGUUGAUGAAUAUUCAGGCAGUCUUUUCAGGAAUAUCAUUGCAUUUGAGCAAACAUGUCCUCAGUUUGGAGAUGACUUCACAGCUUACAUUGUCUUCCUGUCACAGAUUAUUUGUAUGCCAGAAGAUGUAACACUACUUGUUGAAAGAGAAAUAAUUGUGCACCAACUUGAGAGCGACGAACAUGUCUCUGAUCUAUUUACCAUGCUUAGUAAAGAUGUUGUGUUUGAUUUCAAUGGUAUGCAUUACUUAAAAUCACUUUGUCAGGCUAUGGAAGAAUUCUACCAGAGUCGCCUGAACCGAUGGAUUGCGUGGCUCUUGAUGAAUCAUUUCAGUAAUCCGUGGUUGGCCUUAGCUGCAGUAGCGACGGGUGUUGUGCUUGCCUGCACCAUCGUGCAAACCAUCUUCACUAUCGAAGCAUACAGGAAACCCCCUGGUCAUGAGUAA